GAGAGAGGAAGCUCAGCUCUGCACAGAGUGUGGGGGGAAUGAGGCAUCCAGGCAGCUACAGCACUCCGGUGGGUGUCCCUGGAAAACCUGUGGGAGUCAUGUUGGCCCCACUAACUGCACAUCUAUUACAUCACGGCGUGCUGAGCUGUAACCACAUCUGGAAAGCUACGGCGGUAUGACACGUUUCACCUGAUCGCAAGAUUCUUCACGCUACGGGGGACAUGACGUAUUUAAUUAAAUAUAAAGGUUUGCAUUAGAAAUGUCCAUAAAGGUGAAGACAAGCCUGCAGUCCACAAUCUACAAGGGGCAGCUGCUCUGCUCGCCACCCUGGGACUCCCUCAAGACGCUCUAAAACACCAGGACCCUGUGCAGCUGCUCUG
Molecule: long non-coding RNA, 380 nt
Organism: Pelobates fuscus (common spadefoot toad)
Lineage: Eukaryota; Metazoa; Chordata; Amphibia; Anura; Pelobatidae
Exons: 4
Source: RefSeq, a predicted model, not a curated record